Molecule: long non-coding RNA, 5775 nt
Filed under: Sus scrofa (pig)
Lineage: Eukaryota; Metazoa; Chordata; Mammalia; Artiodactyla; Suidae
Description: lncRNA (ENSSSCG00000062101.1)
Source: RNAcentral
CAUUCAAAUGCAUCACCAAUUUAUAUAGUGUUGGAUUCUUACUUAAUAUAGAGCACCCCUGUCCCAGGCACUGCUAUAAUUUUUUGUGACCUUGAACUUUUCCUACCACUCUCAUCUUUCCCUGUGGUGCGAUAAGUAUCUUCCAACAACAGCAGCCUGGAGGAGUACAAAGCCUUCUUGGCACCUAAAAGCAAGUGUCAUUUCACCAGCACGUUUCUGCAUUGAGCCAAGCCUAUUCAGGGUGAAGAUGAAUCCUCAUUUUUUACCCCACCAUGGCCCCUGCCCACUCCCCAGCAUUCAGCAACUCAUCCCAGAUUCUGCCACUUGGCCUCCAUGAACGGGGCACACAGGCCACAGGAAAUGAUCCCUUACUAACUCAGAAAGCUGAGCUUUAGCUGUGCUGGCUCAGUCCUAGAAUGCUGUCCUGCUGCUGCUGCUGCUGCUGCUGCUGCUGCUGCUGCUGCUGCUGUUGCUGCUGCUGCUGUUGUUCUUGCUAUGAUGGAAACUUCCUUCUGGGGAGCUGCCACAAGUUUCCCUAGAUCAUUCAGUGGUCAUUUUGUUUCCUACGUGGCCAGUAUGAUACUUCUCCACAUUGAAAUCUUUGUCAAUGAGUAGGAAGGAGAGAGCCUUGUGGUUCUCUACAUUAUUCUCUUGGAAUUUUUACAAAAAAAAAAUGCAUUUAGGAAAAUUGAGACCCAAAGAAGUUAAAUGAUUGGGUGGAAGUUCCAGAGGUAGUGAGUGGCCAAGCCAGGAUAGGAAUCAAAGUACUGCCCUGCCUGCUUUCCCUAGGCUGCCUGCCAAAAAGAAUUGGAUCCAGCAGUCUUUGCUGGGUGAAAUUUUCUUCUUGCAAAGGCUCAUGAAGCAUCAAAUCAACAACCUCUAAAUGACAAUUUUCACUAACUGUGUGUACCAGGACCAAAAUCCCUGUGGAAGGGGACCCCUCUCUUCAUGACUCUGAGUCUGUAAACCUUUCUCUAGAUCAAUGACCUAAUCUAAUCUUUGAAGUGUUAAACUCUUGAACCUGUUCCAUUUUAUAAAGUUACUGGGUCCAGCUCCACCAGUCUGCUUUUACCCAUGAUGGAAUAACAGAGUUUUAGUUCAGUUAAAGGAGCUAGUACUCAUUUUAGAGCUGAGAAAAGGAAGCAGAGAGAGAAGCAGUAACUGUACCUAAUUAGUGAGAAAGCUAGAAUGGGAACCCAGAUCUCCUUUCUCUCUACUCGCUGUAUUCUGGGGGCACAUUUUAAUUUUUUGCCUAGAGAAGGAAAAAGAAAAUAGAAACCAAGCUUUGCAGAAACUCACCAUCCCUCCUACACCCACCAGAGACCCAAUAUUUAUUCUCCUUUUUUGCUUUAACAAAUCCUUAAAGACUCCAGUUCCUAGCAGCCUAUGGCCACAUGAAUAAGUUUUAAAAAUGAGAAGUAAAUGGAAUUGGCUGUCUUCUUAAAGGAGGUAGAGUGGGCCCUUCUUGGCCCUUUCCUUUUUCCUGCUGCCUGUAAGGCUGAUAUAUGACUGAAGCUGCACCCAACAGGGCCUUGGAAAUGGAGGGAUCAAGUUAGGAAGAAGCUAGAGUCUGACACUGAGAAGAUGUCAUACCAAACCUGGAUUGCUGUGCACACGUGUGUGUGUUUGUGUGUGUAAGAGAGAAAGAGUGAGAGAGAAGUGGGGGGGGGGCUGUCUGAAAUCUGAAAUUAAUUUACUCUUAUUUAAGGAUUUUCUGCUACAAGCAGCCGAACCUAUCCAACCAAAUUUCUAGGAUGAAGGUAAAUGUUAAAGAACGUAACUUGAACGGAAUUUGGGUUUUUUAUUUUUGUUUUUUGUUUUGUCUUUUGUUUUGGGGAGGGUUUCUUUGGCCACUCAGGUGGCAUGCAGAAGUUCCCAGGCCAGGGAUAGAACCCACACCACUAUAAUGACCACAGCUAUGGCAGUGACAACACCAUAUUCUUAACCCACUGAGCCGCAAGGGUACUCUGAAUGGGCUUUUAUAUUAUUAUCAGUAUUAUUUGUCUUUUGUUUCCUAACUAACAUUUACUAUCUUCUGUUCAGGAAUGUAUUUCACCAGUCCAAGUCCUACCUCUCAUCUUGCGUUAUUUCAUCAUCUGCAUCCAUGCAACAUAGGAUUUUGUGUUAAUAUUUGUUUCCUGAGGGUGUAAAUCCCCAAUAGUUGUAAUCUCUUUGAUUUCAAUGUCCAAGUGCUUCUUAGAAUCAUUUACAGUUUCUAACUUGAUACUAAGACAUUAAGUCUUUCAGUAAAUACUUAGAGAAUUGUAUUAAAUGAAUCAUUAAUGUUUGUUAUCAAUGUAAGUUGUUUAGAAUAGUUAAACAGUGUGUGAGUGUGUGUUUGUGUGUGUGUGUGUAUGCACGCUCGCCACUCACAAAGUUAUGCAGCAGGUUAUUGGAAUCCCUUUUUCACACAGAAGGAAGCAGAAUCAGGGGGGUUCAUAAUCUGUGUAAUGACCUGCCAAGGAUGCUCAUCUUGGAAGAGAUAGAACUGGAACUGAAACCUGGUCUUCAGAAUAUGAAUAGAUCUUCCACUGCCCUCUGCUGCCUCAAAUCCACAAAUAAUCCUUUAACGUAUACUCAGUACAGCAUACCUUAGGUAGGACUCCGGCCAUCAGGAGCUAACCAUUAAAGUCAUUCAUGUGAUCACUCCGUUGUAUUAGCAAAUAACUGUCCCCUUCCUUUACUGUGUUCCCCUCAGCCUUAUCCCUAGAGAUGGAUGGUGCAGAGUGACUUACCCAAACACAGCAUGCAUGCUUCCCCUACCUCUAGUGUAAAGUGGUCACUGGCAAGUGGUGACCAGCUUCUUUCCUUGCCUGUGAUGUCAUCCAGUCACUAGGGUUUCAUUUCUUACACUAAGUGGUCUGGAGUCCAAAAGUUUCCCUGAACCUCACAUAGACAUAAGUGCCAAUCAGUGAGUAUUUUAUAUAGUCAGAGGAUGUGAAUCUGUAUGAUUUGAAAAACCUUACAGCUCCCUCUCCCAAUGAAUUUUAGCCUCAAAUAUUAUUAGCAUUAAAAACCUAUAAUUCAUUUUUUUCUUUUACUAUUUGUAUUACGUUAGAACAGAAAGGGUUCCAAAGGAGAAGCACCUCAAAAAUACUCUUCUGUACUCUUAAUCUUUGAUCUGAUGAGCAGCUGUACCAGACCUGCCUUGCAACUGGAUAUAUUCUCAGUAUUUUUUAAGAUUUUGGAUUUUCAGAUCUCAAUUUUCAGCUCUAUAAUUAUCUGUAGGAAUAGUUUCUUCCUUUUUCCUCUUUGUUAUGAACCUAUAUAUCUUACCAUCUACUCAAAAUUAAUCAUAACAGGUGGUUGAAACCUCAGAAGUAAACAUUCUUCCCAUCUCUUUGCAUUACUGUCCAUGGAGGAAGUGAAAAAAAGCAGAUGGACUAUAAGGUUAAUCAGAUAAUGCAGUAAUUGUGUGUAGUACAUACAUUUUCAAAAAAUUAACUGCAUUUGCUAUCCUUUAGAUGAAAGUCCUGGUUGCAGAGUGGCAUUGGAGGGGGGGAGUCACAGAGUUUAACGGUGGCCCCACUCAAAAUUAGGUGUGGCUUGGACCAGACUAAAGCAGAUGUAUGAGAAGUGUGCCUCCCCUGUAUGGGAGUCUGGGAACAGGCUGGAAGGGACACUGAAGAAGGGUUUUUAAAUCUCCAGAUCUGCAUCCUUACAUUGUAACUUUGCUAUUUUUAUUUUUUGAGUUACUCUUUUUUCUGAUAUUUUAGACAGACUGUGGAACUGCCAUGUCCUAGGGUUUUGAAGACAUAUCGUAAGGAGGUUUUUCUUCUUAAAACCUUAACUUCGCUGCUAGUUACUGCUAGGAGCUUGAAGCUAUGUGAAUUUUGCUGGUAGUGGAAGAUUUUUAGUGCUGGAAGCAAAUAGAAGUGGAUCAAACUUUGCCCCUAACUAGAUGACCUUGAGAGUCUUUUCACAUCUUUGAACCCCCUUGCGUUAGCUGUAAAAUGCUCUCAUUUUGUUAGUGCUAAUGAUUCCUUGAGAACAUGAGUACCAACGUUCCCUUCAGUCCUGACAUUUCUAGAUUCUAGGGUACACAGUAAGCAUGACAGUUUAGACAAAGAUAUUUUCAUAUGAAAAUUUAGAAAACCCAGAAAUGUACAACCUUGCAUAUUUAAGUUUUAAUUCAAAUAAACUUAUUUACAAUGCAAAAAUAAAUAUCUUUGUGGAACUUUUGUAAACUACCUAAUAGCAUGAUUAUAAAGCAGAUAAAUAGUUAAAUAAAUUUGCAAUGUGAAACAAUCUGUGAAUAUGUAUAUGUUUAUAUAUUCACACAGUGCUUGUCACACAGUAAACACAAUAUAGGUAUAUAUUAUUAUCAUUAUCAUUUUUACUCUUAUCAAUACAUUUUUCUCACUGGGACCAAUAUUAUAGAAUAAAUAGUCCAACUGUAAUAAAAAAUGUCUUCAAAAUGUUUAGUGGGGAUUAGAAUGUGUUUCUAGGCACCUUCAGUCUGAUAUGCAUUGAGCCUUCUACAAGGACAGUAAUGAGCUCUUAUGAAAUUUUUCCUUUGGGAAAACCAUUUAGAAUGACAAAGAAUGUUAACAUGGGACUGGUUUGCAGGCAAGAUAGUCUAUGUUUUAGUCAUAUCACAGUUUAAUCUUUUUAAAUAUCUGCUUCGAGUCCUUGAGUUUCUCCACUGGUCACCUUUAUCUUUCAUUUCUUAUUCCUUAAUAACAAUCCUAAUCAAGCCUUCAGCCCUUGAAUGUGUUGCUAAACAUCUUUAGGGGAGUACUAUUUUAUCCCUGAUUAUGUGACCAAAACAUAUCAUCAAAUGUUUAUUGUAUCAUCAUUAUUAAGAUAUUUAAUCCCUAUGCAGAGAACUUUUAAGCUACUCCAGUAAAAAAUUUUUAAAGGUUCCAAGGAUAACCAAAUCCAAAACAAAAUGUGGAUCUUAGCAUAAAAGCUAUUCAUAUCAGAAAGACAAAUGAGAGCAGUAUGUGGAUUCUGAAUCAGAAUGGUGGUAGGCUAAAGCCUGAGUGACUAUUAACAAUGUCUGACAUCACCAAAUUGACCAUGAUGUAAUGAAAUUCAGAAUAAAAAAAAAAGUUAGAGUUAGACACAAACUGAGAGGUCGAAUAGUAAGAAAUCUUUCUUUUCACAUGAGGAAAAUGAGGCCCAAAGAGAGUAAGUGACCUGCUAAAGAGAACACAGCUGUUUAGUAGCAGAACCUGGUCUUAGGGGACCCUUGACUACUGGUCAGACUUUCUUUCUGUUGUAUGUACCUCCAAGAAAACAUGUGGAAUCCUAAGGCUGCAUUCCAUUCUCUGGUGCACUGAACAGUGGGCCUGGAAACAGUCAAGGAACGCUUGCUUGUCUUUGGUCCUCAUCUGUGAAAUAAUAAGGCUGAACAAGACAAGGGCCUAGAUCUUUUUUAGCCUGAAAUUGCUCAAAUUCCCAGCCAUCAUUCAUUUUUCUUGGCAAUAUAAACCAGAUAUUUUUCUCUGGUGCAGUUUAAACUUGUAAUUUCAGAACUAUAACUAUGGGUAUGAGGCUUUUAGUCAUCAAGGCAUUUUUUCUAAACACUUAAGCUGAUGCAAUUUUCAGAAAUUCAGAAAACAAAUUUUGCAAUCAGUUUUUCUAGUGAUUGAAAAGAAGGUAAAAGGACAAAUAGGAGAGGUAUAAUUAUGUGGUACAUUUAGUCAACAACUGUGCAGACAAAAUGUCAAAAAUUAGGGCCACCAUCAGGCAUUUUAAGGGUACCAUGAGUCACCAUAUUUGUGGAUUUUCCUCCAUGAGAUCUGUGUUGAUUAGGAAUGCGACCUCUGG